Molecule: ribosomal RNA, 535 nt
Filed under: uncultured bacterium
Lineage: Bacteria
Description: bacterial SSU rRNA
Rfam family: Bacterial small subunit ribosomal RNA
Source: RNAcentral
AAUAGAUACCCGGGUAGUCCACGCCGUAAACGGUGGGCACUAGGUGUGGGCGACAUUCCACGUCGUCCGUGCCGCAGCUAACGCAUUAAGUGCCCCGCCUGGGGAGUACGGCCGCAAGGCUAAAACUCAAAGGAAUUGACGGGGGGCCCGCACAAGCGGCGGAGCAUGUGGCUUAAUUCGACGCAACGCGAAGAACCUUACCAAGGCUUGACAUACACCGGAAACGUCCAGAGAUGGGCGCCCCCUUGUGGUCGGUGUACAGGUGGUGCAUGGCUGUCGUCAGCUCGUGUCGUGAGAUGUUGGGUUAAGUCCCGCAGCGAGCGCAACCCUUGUCCCGUGUUGCCAGCAGGCCCUUGUGGUGCUGGGGACUCACGGGAGACCGCCGGGGUCAACUCGGAGGAAGGUGGGGACGACGUUAAGUCAUCAUGCCCCUUAUGUCUUGGGCUGCACACGUGCUACAAUGGCCGGUACAAUGAGCUGCGAUACCGCGAGGUGGAGCGAAUCUCAAAAAGCCGGUCUCAGUUCGGAUUGGGGU